UCCGAAUUGGUGUAGUGGCUAACAUUUGACGCUCUCAAAACCCUACGGGUGCGGGUGCCGUCAAGCCCGGGGUUCGAUUCCCCGAUUCGGAG
This 92-nucleotide transfer RNA is filed under the name Xylaria palmicola. Its description in RNAcentral is "tRNA-Glu". It matches the Rfam family "tRNA". From Rfam's summary of the family: Transfer RNA (tRNA) molecules are approximately 80 nucleotides in length. The record is from RNAcentral. Lineage: Eukaryota; Fungi; Ascomycota; Sordariomycetes; Xylariales; Xylariaceae.